UUUUUUUUUUUAAUAAUUAUAAUUUAAUUUUAAAAAAUUAAAUAAUUUGGUAGUAUUUUUUAAAAUUAGAGGAUUUUGUUUAUUAAUUGAUAAUACACAUUAUAAUAUACUUAAUUUAAUAAAUUAUAUAUUGUUGUUUAAUUAAUAUUUAAAAAUAAUUAAUAGUUUUUAUAUUAAAAAAAUAAUUCAAAUCAUAAUAUAUUAAAAAUUUAAGAUUAAAAUGAAAUACAUUAAAUUUAUUUAAUUUGGAUUUUAAAUUUUAAUAUUUAAUUAAAAAUGGAUUUAAAAUUAAAAUUUUAUAUAUUUAAAAUUUUAAUUUUUUAAAAAAAUAUAU
Molecule: ribosomal RNA, 334 nt
Filed under: Asphondylia sarothamni
Lineage: Eukaryota; Metazoa; Arthropoda; Insecta; Diptera; Cecidomyiidae
Description: 12S ribosomal RNA
Source: RNAcentral